GGUCUCAUAGUUCAACUGGAUAGAAUAUCAGAUUUCGACUCUGAUGGUUGGAGGUUCGAACCCUUCUGGGACCA
This 74-nucleotide transfer RNA is filed under the name Sphingobacteriales bacterium. RNAcentral's name for it is "tRNA-Arg". It matches the Rfam family "tRNA". Rfam says of the family: Transfer RNA (tRNA) molecules are approximately 80 nucleotides in length. Their secondary structure includes four short double-helical elements and three loops (D, anti-codon, and T loops). Lineage: Bacteria; Pseudomonadati; Bacteroidota; Sphingobacteriia; Sphingobacteriales. RNAcentral also lists the same sequence under 1 other name. The record is from RNAcentral.